UUGAACGCUGGCGGCAUGCUUUACACAUGCAAGUCGAACGGUAACAGGCCUUCGGGUGCUGACGAGUGGCGACCGGGUGAGUAAUGCAUCGGAACGUACCCAGAGGUGGGGGAUAACGCAGCGAAAGCUGUGCUAAUACUGCAUGUGAUCUGAGGAUGAAAGCGGGGGACCGAGCAGCAAUGUUUGGCCUCGCGCCUUUGGAGCGGCCGAUGUCGGAUUAGCUAGUUGGUGGGGUAAAGGCCUACCAAGGCGACGAUCCGUAGCUGGUCUGAGAGGACGACCAGCCACACUGGGACUGAGACACGGCCCAGACUCCUACGGGAGGCAGCAGUGGGGAAUUUUGGACAAUGGGCGCAAGCCUGAUCCAGCAAUGCCGCGUGCGGGAAGAAGGCCUUCGGGUUGUAAACCGCUUUUGGCAGGAACGAAACGGUGUCCGCUAAUACCGGGCGCUAAUGACGGUACCUGCAGAAUAAGCACCGGCUAACUACGUG
This 491-nucleotide ribosomal RNA is filed under the name uncultured bacterium. RNAcentral's name for it is "partial 16S ribosomal RNA". It matches the Rfam family "Bacterial small subunit ribosomal RNA", at positions 30 to 507 of the family's 1533-position model. The record is from RNAcentral.